RNAcentral lists this ribosomal RNA (79 nucleotides) under Salmonella enterica subsp. enterica serovar Agona str. 400095 13. Its description in RNAcentral is "partial 23S ribosomal RNA". It matches the Rfam family "Bacterial large subunit ribosomal RNA", at positions 2849 to 2925 of the family's 2925-position model. The record is from RNAcentral. RNAcentral also lists the same sequence under 1 other name. Lineage: Bacteria; Pseudomonadati; Pseudomonadota; Gammaproteobacteria; Enterobacterales; Enterobacteriaceae.
GACGUUGAUAGGCCGGGUGUGUAAGCGCAGCGAUGCGUUGAGCUAACCGGUACUAAUGAACCGUGAGGCUUAACCUUAC